RNAcentral lists this ribosomal RNA (492 nucleotides) under uncultured bacterium. RNAcentral's name for it is "partial 16S ribosomal RNA". It matches the Rfam family "Bacterial small subunit ribosomal RNA", at positions 29 to 507 of the family's 1533-position model. The record is from RNAcentral.
AGUGAACGCUGGCGGUAGGCCUAACACAUGCAAGUCGAACGGCAGCACAGUAAGAGCUUGCUCUUACGGGUGGCGAGUGGCGGACGGGUGAGGAAUACAUCGGAAUCUACUUUUUCGUGGGGGAUAACGUAGGGAAACUUACGCUAAUACCGCAUACGACCUACGGGUGAAAGCAGGGGAUCUUCGGACCUUGCGCGAUUGAAUGAGCCGAUGUCGGAUUAGCUAGUUGGCGGGGUAAAGGCCCACCAAGGCGACGAUCCGUAGCUGGUCUGAGAGGAUGAUCAGCCACACUGGAACUGAGACACGGUCCAGACUCCUACGGGAGGCAGCAGUGGGGAAUAGUGGACAAAGGGGGCGAGCCUGAUCCAGCCAUACCGCGUGGGUGAAGAAGGCCUUCGGGUUGUAAAGCCCUUUUGUUGGGAAAGAAAAGCAGCAGGUUAAUACCCCGCUGUUCUGACGGUACCCAAAGAAUAAGCACCGGCUAACUUCGUG